UCUCAGCAGAUGUAGGAUCCCACCGA
This 26-nucleotide non-coding RNA is filed under the name Mus musculus (house mouse). Lineage: Eukaryota; Metazoa; Chordata; Mammalia; Rodentia; Muridae. The record is from RNAcentral.